This 103-nucleotide microRNA precursor is filed under the name Marmota monax (woodchuck). Lineage: Eukaryota; Metazoa; Chordata; Mammalia; Rodentia; Sciuridae. The record is from RNAcentral.
CCCAGAAUCAUCUGGGAUCUUAUUUAAAUGCAGGUUCUGAUUCUGUGGGGAUGGUUAAGGCCUCAUAUCCUGCACUUCUGACAAUCCCCCAGGUGAUGCCUGU